Molecule: ribosomal RNA, 492 nt
Filed under: uncultured bacterium
Lineage: Bacteria
Description: partial 16S ribosomal RNA
Rfam family: Bacterial small subunit ribosomal RNA
Source: RNAcentral
AGUGAACGCUGGCGGUAGGCCUAACACAUGCAAGUCGAACGGCAGCACAGUAAGAGCUUGCUCUUACGGGUGGCGAGUGGCGGACGGGUGAGGAAUACAUCGGAAUCUACUUUUUCGUGGGGGAUAACGUAGGGAAACUUACGCUCAUACCGCAUACGACCUACGGGUGAAAGCAUGGGAUCUUCGGACCUUGCGCGAUUGAAUGAGCCGAUGUCGGAUUAGCUAGUUGGCGGGGUAAAGGCCCACCAAGGCGACGAUCCGUAGCUGGUCUGAGAGGAUGAUCAGCGACACUGGAACUGAGACACGGUCCAGACUCCUACGGGAGGCAGCAGUGGGGAAUAUUGGACAAUGGGCGCAAGCCUGAUCCAGCCAUACCGCGUGGGUGAAGAAGGCCUUCGGGUUGUAAAGCCCUUUUGUUGGGAAAGAAAAGCAGCAGGUUAAUACCCCGCUGUUCUGACGGUACCCAAAGAAUAAGCACCGGCUAACUUCGUG